GGUUGCGAUCAUACCAGCACUAAUGCACCAGAUCCCAUCAGAACUCCGCAGUUAAGCGUGCUUGGGCGAGAGUAGUACUAGGAUGGGUGAACUCCGCAGUUAAGCGUGCUUGGGCGAGAGUAGUACUAGGAUGGGUGACCCUCUGGGAAGUCCCCGUGUUGCAACCC
Molecule: ribosomal RNA, 167 nt
Filed under: Helianthus annuus (common sunflower)
Lineage: Eukaryota; Viridiplantae; Streptophyta; Magnoliopsida; Asterales; Asteraceae
Source: RNAcentral